This is a long non-coding RNA of Gasterosteus aculeatus aculeatus (three-spined stickleback), 521 nucleotides long. The record is from Ensembl. NCBI's taxonomy places the organism in Eukaryota, Metazoa, Chordata, Actinopteri, Perciformes, Gasterosteidae.
AGAAAACCUCAAAGUCCCUCCACUGCCCCGCUUAUCCCCGAAAAUCCGGCACACAGGGGGACUCGAGGGCAGCGGAUCACAGCUGGAAUCCCACGAUCAGCCGAUGCUCUGGGUUUUCAGAUGUCGCACUGGCUCGUUCCGGGUGAAAGGCAAUUUGGCCCAGUGUCUGCUCCCAGGACUGUUUGAAUUGUGUUCGCAGGAAUGAAAGGGCCGUAUUUCAGUGUUUGUAUCAUCGCAUGACAAGCGGAAGGUUAAGCGGAGAAGCUGAACACCUUCACAAUAAAGCUACUUUUGGUUCACCAGUGGCCACCGAGGGCGAUUUUGAGCGAUCUCUACAGCUCCAGCUGAUCCGCUGACGACGAUGAGGAGAAGAGCGGGCAGGUCGGCAAAAGCAAUCUCUUUGACGGACCCAAGGAAGAGAGGCCUAAAGAUUCAAACUUACAAAAGGUAUGAAAUUGCACUGUUGCCCCCCCCGACCCGCCGCCCCCACCCACCUUCUUACUCAAAGCAUUUGUCUCCUU